Desmophyllum pertusum is the source of this 77-nucleotide non-coding RNA. The record is from the annotation of a GenBank genome assembly. Lineage: Eukaryota; Metazoa; Cnidaria; Anthozoa; Scleractinia; Caryophylliidae.
CUCCUAGUAGCUUAGUGGUAGGAGCGUCCGACCGGUGUGCGGAAGGUCAUAGGUUUUUCGUCUCCCUGUUUGGGAGA